Molecule: long non-coding RNA, 1394 nt
Organism: Limulus polyphemus (Atlantic horseshoe crab)
Lineage: Eukaryota; Metazoa; Arthropoda; Merostomata; Xiphosura; Limulidae
Exons: 2
Source: RefSeq, a predicted model, not a curated record
CCAAUGUAGAGAUGGCGGCAGUGCAUGAAACUUGUUUAUGUUACAGGACACCUAUGCGAUCUAUGCAAGAAUAAAAACACCUCUUGAUUUUAGAAUUAUUAAAAUUUUUGAACGGUUAAUGGUGUCCAACCAAUUAUAUUUAUGUUUCUGAUGGUUUCUUCAACAUUUUUCGUAUGUUUAUUGGAAAGUAGAUUUCGGAAAAAAAAAAAAAAUUAAAUGAUGUAAUUAAUACUCAAGAUUUUUCUAUCCACAUAUAUCGAUUAUGGCCAUCAUUAGAAAAUAAUACUAGAGAUAUGAAUAUAUAAGGGCUACAUAUAACUAUGUUUUGAUUCAAGUACAAUAAUAAUUCAUCUUUAUUAAUAUGAGAAACGGACUGAUUUCUAUCAAGAUGAGAAUAGUUAACCUCCACCUAAAGGGGUAAAGUUAUACCUUUUACUUAUUAAAUGUAAUUUGGUACAGAAAUAAUCUGAACACAACUGUGUUGAAAACACCAGAAUAUUCCAAGAGUUGAAACAGUACUGGAUUUUGUUAGUGACACGGGAAGAGAGAGAUUUUUUAUCACUAACGUAUUAUCACGAAUUCAACAAACAUCGCACUCGUGAAGUGGAGAUUAUGAAAUUCGUCCGCUAUUAAAAUCCACAUCAUAGUGGCAAGUCGUCAGGUUUCAUUGCCCUGUUCUUUUUAAGGAAUCUAGCAAAAAAAGGCUAAUUAUCGUUAUCUUAUGCAAGAAAGAUAUGGGUAAUAAGAUAUGAGUUCUAAUUUUUCUCUGUUACAGAUCUAGUGAUAGUGACAAGGGAAACACAACUGUCCUGUAUUGAAGACAUAUCGAUAGUAGCAUGUGAGCUGUUUUGUACUGUGUACAGCUAUGUCAAUAGUAAAAGGUGGGCAAUUAUUACUUAAUGUUACAGACAAUAAGAAGUAUGCUAGCAGGAGAAGAGUGGUUACAGGUAGCAGGAGGUGAGUAGUAGUUAUUUAGUGUUACAAAUGUAUAGAGGUGAGUUGUUACAGAUAGAGAUAGCAGAAGGUGACUUAAUGGUCAUGGUUUUAUUUUUAUGUGAAUUGUAUUAAGUAUUACGUGAUCAAAUUACAAAAUAUACAAAUUUAUACAAUAAAUUUGACAAUUACACUCAUUAUACCCAAUUUUUUUUACAUAACAGUUAAAAGGCCUUAAAAUAGUUUACUAUAUUUUCAAUUUUAAAACAUCGAUAUAAAACUUGUUGAGACGUCAUGGUAAAACUUAAUUACAGAACGUCAGUCAUAAAGAGGGUUCUCUCAACAACUAGUGUGUGGUUUCAAGUUUGUUUAGUACUGCAAUUGUUCUAUGGAGUUACAACGCAAAAAAUCCGGAGUUCGAUUCUCCAUAGAAGACAGAGUAAAAACAGCCCAGUGUGUAG